RNAcentral lists this ribosomal RNA (119 nucleotides) under Oncorhynchus mykiss (rainbow trout). Lineage: Eukaryota; Metazoa; Chordata; Actinopteri; Salmoniformes; Salmonidae. The record is from RNAcentral.
GCUUACGGCCACACCGGCCUGAGUAAGUCCUGAUCUCGUCCGAUCUCGGAAGCUAAGCAGGGUCGGGCCUGGUUAGUACUUGGAUGGGAGACCGCCUGGGAAUACAGGUGCUGUAAGCU